RNAcentral lists this ribosomal RNA (484 nucleotides) under uncultured bacterium. RNAcentral describes it as "partial 16S ribosomal RNA". It matches the Rfam family "Bacterial small subunit ribosomal RNA", at positions 29 to 507 of the family's 1533-position model. The record is from RNAcentral.
AUUGAACGCUGGCGGCAUGCCUAACACAUGCAAGUCGAGCGGAUGAAGUGAGCUUGCACCUGGAUUCAGCGGCGGACGGGUGAGUAAUGCCUAGGAAUCUGCCUGGUAGUGGGGGAUAACGUCCGGAAACGGGCGCUAAUACCGCAUACCUCCUGAUGGCGCAACAGGGGGCUCCUCCGCCCUCACCCUAUCAGAUAAGCCUAGGUCGGAUUAGAUAGCCGGGGGGGUAAUGGCCUUCCAAGGCGACGAUCCGCAACUGGUCGGAGAGGAAGAUCAGUCACACGGGAAGGGAGACAGGGUCGCGACACCGGCGGGGGGCAGCAGUGGGGAAUAUUGGAGGAGGGGGGAAAGGCGGAUACAGCAAUGCGGCGGGUGUGAAGAAGGUCUUCGGAUUGGAAAGCGCUGUAAGUUGGGAGGAAGGGCAGUAAGUUAAGAAGUGGCUGUUUUGACGGUACCAGAAGAAGAAGCACCGGCUAACUUCGUG